UAGUACGGCGAGUGAAGAGGGAAGAGCCCAAGAUUGAAAGCUGGCGUCUUCGGCGUCCGCAUUGUAAUCUCAAGAAGUGUUUUCCGCUUCGGACCAAGCCUAAGUCCCCUGGAAAGGGGCAUCAUAGAGGGUGAUAAUCCCGUACAUGGCUUGGAGCGCCCGAGGCUUUGUGAUACGCUUUCUAAGAGUCGAGUUGUUUGGGAAUGCAGCUCAAAAUGGGUGGUAAAUGCCAUCUAAGGCUAAAUAUUGGGGAGAGACCGAUAGCGAACAAGUACAGUGAUGGAAAGAUGAAAAGAACUUUGAAAAGAGAGUUAAACAGUACGUGAAAUUGCCAAAAGGGAAGGGUAGGAGGUCAGAGAUGCGGCCUGGGAUUCAGCCUUGCUUUUGCUUGGUGUUUUUCCCAGAUUGCAGGCCAACGUCGGUUUUGGGCACUGGAGAAGGGUAGGAGGAACGUGGCACCCCUCGGGGUGUGUUAUAGCCUCCUACUGGAUACAGCGACCGAGACCGAGGACAGCAGCGUACUCGCAAGAGCGGGCCUUCGGGCACCUUUACGCUUAGGGCGUUGGCAUAAUGGCCCUCUACCACCCGUCUU
This 592-nucleotide ribosomal RNA is filed under the name uncultured Pseudozyma. RNAcentral describes it as "eukaryotic LSU rRNA". It matches the Rfam family "Eukaryotic large subunit ribosomal RNA", at positions 81 to 655 of the family's 3401-position model. The record is from RNAcentral. Lineage: Eukaryota; Fungi; Basidiomycota; Ustilaginomycetes; Ustilaginales; Ustilaginaceae.